RNAcentral lists this ribosomal RNA (497 nucleotides) under uncultured bacterium. RNAcentral describes it as "partial 16S ribosomal RNA". It matches the Rfam family "Bacterial small subunit ribosomal RNA", at positions 28 to 507 of the family's 1533-position model. The record is from RNAcentral.
GAUGAACGCUGGCGGCGUGCCUAAUACAUGCAAGUCGAGCGAACAGAUAAGGAGCUUGCUCCUUUGACGUUAGCGGCGGACGGGUGAGUAACACGUGGGUAACCUACCUAUAAGACUGGGAUAACUUCGGGAAACCGGAGCUAAUACCGGAUAACAUUUGGAACCGCAUGGUUCUAAAGUGAAAGAUGGUUUUGCUAUCACUUAUAGAUGGACCCGCGCCGUAUUAGCUAGUUGGUAAGGUAACGGCUUACCAAGGCGACGAUACGUAGCCGACCUGAGAGGGUGAUCGGCCACACUGGAACUGAGACACGGUCCAGACUCCUACGGGAGGCAGCAGUAGGGAAUCUUCCGCAAUAGGCGAAAGCCUGACGGAGCAACGCCGCGUGAGUGAUGAGGGGUUUCGGCUCGUAAAACUCUGUUAUUAGGGAAGAACAAAUGUGUAAGUAACUGUGCACGUCUUGACGGUACCUAAUCAGAAAGCCACGGCUAACUACGUG